UCGGUGCCCAAGAUCCAUCUAGAGGAGCCUGUCCCAGAAUCGAUGAUCCGCGCAAACCUUACCAACCCUAGCUUAACAGCUUGUAUACUUCCGUCGCAAGUCUACCACAUGAGUGAAAAUCAGCAGACUUAACGUUUAUAGAAAAUACGUCAGGUCAARGUGCAGCAAAUGAGUUGGCGGAGAUGGGCUACACUUUCUAACCUAGAAGAUACGAAAGACUUCAUGAAACCUAGUCAGAAGGCGGAUUUAGUAGUAAAAAGAAAACAGAACGCUCUUUUUAACACGGCCCUGGAGUGCGCACACACCGCCCGUCACCCCCUUCAAAAUCCCCAAAUAACAGUACAUAACAACAAUUCCCAAUAAAGAAGGGGCAAGUCGUAACAUGGUAAGUAUACCGGAAGGUGUACUUGGAUAUGAAACAUAGCUUACAUAAAG
This 435-nucleotide ribosomal RNA is filed under the name Brachycephalus ephippium (pumpkin toadlet). RNAcentral's name for it is "partial 12S ribosomal RNA". It matches the Rfam family "Bacterial small subunit ribosomal RNA", at positions 913 to 1533 of the family's 1533-position model. Lineage: Eukaryota; Metazoa; Chordata; Amphibia; Anura; Brachycephalidae. The record is from RNAcentral.